RNAcentral lists this ribosomal RNA (443 nucleotides) under uncultured bacterium. RNAcentral describes it as "partial 16S ribosomal RNA". It matches the Rfam family "Bacterial small subunit ribosomal RNA", at positions 355 to 810 of the family's 1533-position model. The record is from RNAcentral.
UGGGGAAUAUUGCACAAUGGGCGAAAGCCUGAUGCAGCGACGCCGCGUGAGGGAUGACGGCCUUCGGGUUGUAAACCUCUUUCAGCAUGGAAGAAGCGAAAGUGACGGUACCUGCAGAAGAAGCGCCGGCUAACUACGUGCCAGCAGCCGCGGUAAUACGUAGGGCGCAAGCGUUGUCCGGAAUUAUUGGGCGUAAAGAGCUCGUAGGCGGUUAGUCGCGUCUGCUGUGAAAACUCGAGGCUCAACCUCGGGCUUGCAGUGGGUACGGGCUGACUAGAGUGCGGUAGGGGUGACUGGAAUUCCUGGUGUAGCGGUGGAAUGCGCAGAUAUCAGGAGGAACACCGAUGGCGAAGGCAGGUCACUGGGCCGCAACUGACGCUGAGGAGCGAAAGCAUGGGGAGCGAACAGGAUUAGAUACCCUGGUAGUCCAUGCCGUAAACGUU